AAUCAUAUAAUAAUUAUGAUAGUGAUAAAUAUUAUAUUAAAUUUCCUAGUUUUAUCCAUAUCUUUAGUUUUGUUACUGCUAUUUUAUAUUUGUAUGUACAUAACUAUAACUAUAUAUAUUUUUUUUUUUUUUAAGAUGUAAAGAUAAAUCCAUUAAUAGAAAAAGAUGCCAUUUUUGACGAAACUAACGAUAUGUUUAUAGAAAAUGUAGAUAAAGAAAAUAUAGAAAGCUCAAAUAUAAUUUUUGAAAACUUAUUAGGUGGGGAAUCAGAAAAAAAAAAUAAAAAUUAUCAUUAUAUCCCAACUUUAUAUUCUGAUGGAGAAUUUUUUCAGUUGAAAUCGCCAAUCCAAAGUGAUGAAAAAAAAAAGAAAAAAAAGACUCACAAAAAAAAAAAAAAAAGGGAAGGAAAAAAAACAACUGAUUCAGUUACAAAUGAUCAAAAUAAAAAUGAUACAAUAAAAGAUGACACAAUACAGGAUGACAUAAUACAGGAUGACAUAAUACAGGAUGACAUAAUACAGGAUGACAUAAUACAGGAUGACAUAAUACAGGAUGACAUAAUAAAAGAUGAGGAAAAAAAAGAAAAAUACGUAGAAAAUGAAACGAAAAAGGAAAUCUCAAAAAAUGAAGUUAUAAAUAAUAAAAAUAUAACUGAAAUUAAAGAUAAUCUUCCAUACAUAAGUAGUAAAAAAGCAAAUAAAUAUAAUAAAACUGUGAACAAUACGAUUGAUAAUACUCUCAAACAAUUGAAUAAUGAUAAUACUAUUACAGUUCGUAAUUCAACUGAUUUAAAGAAGAAUGAUAGUAAUGUAAAUGAUGUAGGUGAUAAUGUUCGUAAUAGUGACGACAUCAGUGACAAUAGGAAUGAGAUAAAUUUCAAAAAAAUAUCACACAUAAAUACUUGUAUUAAUAUGAAAAUAAAUUAUAUAUCAGACAGCUGUGAAAAGUUUAUAAAAAUAGGUGAUAAAAACAAAAAAAAAAAUGGAAUUAUAAAAAUGCCAAAAAUUAAAUUAACGCCCGAUAAUAUGCCUUUUUCAAGUGAAGAAGGCGGAGCAGAAUGGCGUGAUUAUAUUUUUAAUAAUAA
Molecule: long non-coding RNA, 1084 nt
Filed under: Piliocolobus tephrosceles (Ugandan red Colobus)
Lineage: Eukaryota; Metazoa; Chordata; Mammalia; Primates; Cercopithecidae
Description: lncRNA (ENSPTEG00000010742.1)
Source: RNAcentral